UCCCUGGAGGACUAGUGGUUAGGCAAGAGCGCUCUCAGUGCUGUGGACCAGGUUCGAUUCCCAGCCAGGAAA
Non-coding RNA from Pangasius djambal, 72 nucleotides. NCBI's taxonomy places the organism in Eukaryota, Metazoa, Chordata, Actinopteri, Siluriformes, Pangasiidae. The record is from the annotation of a GenBank genome assembly.